This 268-nucleotide ribosomal RNA is filed under the name uncultured Eubacteriales bacterium. RNAcentral's name for it is "uncultured Clostridiales bacterium partial 16S ribosomal RNA". It matches the Rfam family "Bacterial small subunit ribosomal RNA", at positions 76 to 339 of the family's 1533-position model. The record is from RNAcentral. Lineage: Bacteria; Bacillati; Bacillota; Clostridia; Eubacteriales.
AAGCUUGCUUCUUUCAAAUCUAGUGGCAAACGGGUGAGUAACACGUAAACAACCUGCCUUUCAGAGGGGGAUAACAUUUGGAAACAGAUGCUAAUACCGCAUAAGAUUACAGUACCGCAUGAUACAGUGAUCAAAGGAGCAAUCCGCUGAAAGAUGGGCUCGCGUCCGAUUAGAUAGUUGGUGAGGUAACGGCCCACCAAGGCGACGAUCAGUAGCCGGACUGAGAGGUUGAACGGCCACAUUGGGACUGAGAUACGGCCCAGACUCC